GUAGGCUUGAUAUGCCUCCUCCUCAAAUGCUCGAUCCUCAGCGAUAGGGUCAUCCUGAAUAGGAGCUGCCCACCCUCUCCGUGCCGAAGCUGUAGGUCGUCUCCUAGCUAAACCUUGUGCAGAACUCUCUCCUCGAGAACUUUGUUCUCGAAAACUCUCUCCUCGAGAACUCUCCCCACGAGAACUAAAAGAUGCACCUCGUGUUCUU
This 208-nucleotide long non-coding RNA is filed under the name Vigna radiata. Its description in RNAcentral is "long non-coding RNA (VRAD_LNC012650)". Lineage: Eukaryota; Viridiplantae; Streptophyta; Magnoliopsida; Fabales; Fabaceae. The record is from RNAcentral.